RNAcentral lists this ribosomal RNA (831 nucleotides) under Triticum aestivum (bread wheat). Its description in RNAcentral is "partial small subunit ribosomal RNA". The record is from RNAcentral. Lineage: Eukaryota; Viridiplantae; Streptophyta; Magnoliopsida; Poales; Poaceae.
AUGGAGCUGUCUAACAAAAGCAGGUACUACCACAUCUUAGGCUUCAAAAAUUUAAGAUACAUAUGGACGUGGGAGUCCACUGAUAUGUUUAGACGACUUGAAGUGAGGAUGAAUAAUGCACAUUUUAAACAUAUGGUGAUCCGAACUAUCAAACAACGUGGCACAAAGUACUGCAAGCCUCCCUGUAUGAAUUUUGAUGUCAAGCCUCACAUAUCUGAUCAACUGGGCACCAUUAUUGAUGGCAAGUCAAUUGCAGAGGACAUGAAGUUACUGAUUGCUGAACAAUUUCGUCGAAUGAAAAAGGCAGUUGCACAUGUUCCUGGAUUAGCUAUUGUAUUGAACUGCACAAAAGACGAGGUGGUGGAUUCAGCAUCAAGAUUAAGUGGAGAUCUAUCUGUUCAUCGCAUCCUUGUGCCGCUACCACUACCACAAGGGGACGAUGAGCCCGGGCUCAGAAAUGGAUAUUUGGAUGUGCAUGGGUCGAUCUGUACUCGGUUUGUCGUCUUUUACCCCUUUAAUGAUCUCGCACCUCUUUCCUCUAUAGGAAGGGAAGGUGACGGCCGAACUGCUAUGCAUCCAAGCACACUCAGCCCUUCAUUGCCUUUGGGAUUGGAGGCAAUGGCAGAUCAUAUCAAAAGCUACCCGUGCAAGGAGAUUAGAAAAACCACUGAUGGAAUGGCCGGGGAGGCUCGCCGCGAUAAGAGGACUUGUGAAUUGUGCAGAUAUUCACUAGAGGCUGAAUUGGCUGCAAUCCACGAAGGUGUUAUCUUGCCUCUCAACUGGACUGAACUCAACCUUGUGGUGGAGACUGACUGUGCUGAAGCCAAGUAA